AACAAAAACUGCACUGAAAACACGUACGGUCCGUGCUUCGACCCUAACAGAGAUCCGCAGGGAGUCGGUCCACCUGGCAGAGCUGAUCACGUAGGUGACGGUGAGGGGGACAGACUCAUGACAAUGGUGGGCAGUUACUACGACUUCUUUCAGUCUGAGCCAGAGCCGACGUAUUCUGUGCCCUCCAAAGACGACCAUCUAGGAUUGAUCAUAAUUGCCGCUACGCGCACCGUGGAUACCACUGGCACGUUGUUUGGUGUAACAGCUGUUGACAUCUCCAUGAACAUCGUGUUCAAUGAGAUCGUCAACUUUAACCUCGGGAAAUAUUCCUUCGCC
Long non-coding RNA from Branchiostoma floridae (Florida lancelet), 336 nucleotides. RefSeq lists it as uncharacterized. Lineage: Eukaryota; Metazoa; Chordata; Leptocardii; Amphioxiformes; Branchiostomatidae. The record is from RefSeq and is a predicted model, not a curated record. The transcript is spliced from 3 exons.